Danio rerio (zebrafish) is the source of this 1849-nucleotide non-coding RNA. The record is from Ensembl. NCBI's taxonomy places the organism in Eukaryota, Metazoa, Chordata, Actinopteri, Cypriniformes, Danionidae.
UCCCAUAGUAGGAUUCAACAGUACUCCUAGCGAACGUUGGAACAUCCGUGUUUACGCGACAGUAAACCGCGAGUCCCGAAAACACAUAAGCCCACCGCUAAAACGUACUUACAGAAUUCUGCGAUGUAAUAAGAGACCACAUAAUUCUCCUCGCACCAGUCGAGAGUGGAAGUCGGUGUUCCCCAGUAGCCCGGCCUGUCCGCCGCCGGAGCCAUGAUGACGGUGAUCGGAGAGGUCGGACGGGCGGAGGGAGGAGCUGUUUUAACGGAAGACAAAAGGAUGGUCGGCGUAGAAGAGUUUGGGAUUUUUCAGCUGGUCUGUACCAAAGAUGCUAGUAUCAGGCGGAUUUCCCUCUGUGUCCCACUCCAUGGCUGAGGCAUGGAAAACAUUGGACAAAUAGAGGUCUUUCUUCCCUGAGAUGUUGGACAGAUCAGCCUUGGCCUUAUCCACAGCUUCAGUCAGACCCAGCUCAGCGAGAUGUUUCUGUUGUGGCUGACCUCCAUGCUGACCUUUGGCAGAGAGAUUGCUACUGCUUUCUGUUCCAUUGCACUGACCCAGGUGUUCAGUUGUUGACGUGUCAGCAGUUUCUCCACUCUUUCCAGUGAUUCUACGUGGUAUGGCAUGAUAAGGACUAAAGAUGACAUCUUAUGGGCCAGCGGCAUUUCCAGAACUAAAAGUUUGUUGGUUGUGUCAUCAAGGAAGCCAUAAAUGCCUGGAAGUAAACACAACAGGUGUGAUGUUCACUGUAUUGUGAAGGUUCCCACGCUUCUUGAAAGUACUUGAAUGUCAGACAUAUGGAUUCAAGGCCUGGAAAGUCAACAGUAUCUGGAUGCAGCCUUUAUGAUGCAAGCAGAGACUGCAUCACUCAGCAAUGCAAUGAUGAUCUACUCUUUUUAAUCAAGUCCUCACCUGUGCGGUGCAUCAUGGGUACGGAGACGGUGAAUGACCGGUGCACUAAGAAACCACGAUUGUCCACCAUCUUAUGAUGAAACUGCUCAUUCCAGUGUGCUGGAGAGAAAACAGAGACACGUUUUAGUUUCUAACGAAUCUACCAACUGCCUUUCACUCAAACUUUAAUCAACACUUACGUUUAUAAAACAUGGCAUUGAUGAUCAUGGCUCCAUCUGUCUUCUCCACAUCUUUGGUCACCUCCGGCAGCUUUCCAUCGGUGGACUUCGAUGCCCAGUCGUUGAUGGCUUUCACCGCACUGCGUUUGUCGCGGAAGUUAAUUUUGGAGUGGUCGUAAUUGUAAUGCUUCUUGCUGCUUUUCAGAAAGUCAUCAACGAAGCUAACAGAACUGGGCCCGUAGAAGCGGUUGCUGAUCUUCCAGGUGACGUUUCGUGCCUUUGGGUUGCUGACCUCGGUGAGGAGCUCCGAAAGCCCAGAAUGGAGUUGCUCAUCCUUCACUGAAGCGGCGCUCAAGACGGUUUUGACCUGAGAAGCAGUGUUGGAUUUUCCUCCAAGAGCCACCAGACCCAGCGAUGAGGCCACUACCACUGGGGAAAUCAGGAUGUUCUCGAUGUCCUUAUCUUUCGCCAUGUUUUGAUACAGGUUGAAGGCCAGUGUGGCGCUGUUGUCGGCUAGCGUGGUUGCAAUGCUGCUCAGGGUCUUGUUUGCGCUCACAGUGGCCAGUAGGCACAGGAGAAGCACGUUUGACGCCAACAUGAUUUUAGAGCUACUGUAUAAAUGGCAUCUGUUACUCACCUCUCAGAGCUCCUGAAAAACCUCUCUACAACCUCUCGGAUAUGCCGACGUGCCCACCACCAAAUCCUUCACGUAGACUUUAUAGAUGGGAAAAGAAACUUCUGGAAGUUAAGAAAGGAGUAUUAGAAUGGUUGUCGUUGUCUGU